This 651-nucleotide long non-coding RNA is filed under the name Salmo salar (Atlantic salmon). Its description in RNAcentral is "lncRNA (ENSSSAG00000110177.1)". The record is from RNAcentral. Lineage: Eukaryota; Metazoa; Chordata; Actinopteri; Salmoniformes; Salmonidae.
GUCAGAAGAACCAAAACCCUGCAACGUUGUCUGAAAGUAAAGAACAGUGUCUGGAGCUGUCUUCACCUGCAAUGUAAGACAAGAGCAAGAAGGCUGAGUGUUAAAAUCACGAUCAGUCACAACCCUUGUUGGGCCAAUAACCGAAAGGUUGCUGGAUCGAAUCCCCGAGCUGACAAGGACCUGAGCCCUAGGACCAUGCCUCAGGACUACCUGGUAUGAUGACUCCUUGCUGUCCCCAGUCCACCUGGCCGUGCUGCUGCUCCAGUUUCAACUGUUCUGCCUGCGGCUAUGGAACCCUGACCUGUUCACCGGACGUGCUUGUUGCACCCUCGACAACUACUAUGAUUAUUAUUAUUUGACCAUGCUGGUCAUUUAUGAACAUUUUAACAUUUUAACAUUUUGACCAUGUUCUGUUAUAAUAUCCACCCUGCACCCCUCAUAGCCUGGUUCCUCUCUAGGUUUCUUCCUAGGUUUUUGGCCUUUCUAGGGAGUUUUUCCUAGGGAGUUUUUCCUAGCCACCGUGCUUCUUUCACAUGCUUUGCUUGCUGUUUGGGGUUUUAGGCUGGGUUUCUGUACAGCACUUUGAGAAUAUCAGCUGAUGUACGAAGGGCUAUAUAAAAAUAAAUUUGAUUUGAUUUGAUUUGAUAUUUU